AUGGCGGACUUCGCGCUUGGCUUAGCCAAGACGGCCGUGGAGGGGACCCUCAGCAGGGUCCAAUCCGCGAUCGAUGAAGAGAACAAACUGAAGGCGGCGGCGCAACAGGACCUGGUGUUCAUCACCGGGGAAUUCCAAAUUAUGCAAUCUUUCCUGAAUGUCGCCAGUAAGGAGCGUGCUAGGAAUGAAGUGGUGAGAACCUGGGUGCGGCAGCUCCGUGACCUGGCUUUCGAUGUGGAAGACUGCGUCGAGUUUGUUAUCCACCUGGAUAAUGACUCGGCCAGGAGCUGGGUGUGGCGCCUGGUGCCCUCCUGCAUGGCACCACCUCAGACGCGGGACCUCGACGACGCUGUCGCUGAGUUGAAGCUGCUUAAGGCGAGGGUCGAGGAGGUGAGCCAGAGGAACACCCGCUACAAUCUCAUAAGUGACUCCGGCUCCAAUCCGGUCUCACAGCCACCGGCUAAGCAGGUGGCCAGUACCGGCCCAUCAACAAUCAACAUCCUGAUGGAGCUAUGGGAGGCCAAUGGAAGGCACCACGGUUUAUGCAACCUCCAAAAGUUGAUAACCAAUGAGGGCAAUGGCCUUAAGGUAAUCUCUUUGUGGGGAAGUGCUGGAUCUGAUAUUGAGGUGACGCAGAUUAUCAAUAAGGCUUACUGCGACCCCGAAAUCUGCCACAGAUUCAAAAGUCGUGCCUGGGUAAAGCUGAUGCAUCCAUUUAACCCAGACGAGUUCCUCAAGAACUUGCGGACUCGGUUACAAGCCAGCUCUCGGUCUUGCCAAGCUCUCGAUUUCAAGGGCAAGUUUUUAGAAGAUGAUCCCAUGAAGCAAUUGACUGGGCAGAGAUAUCUGGUCAUCCUUGAAGGAAUAUCCACUGUUGUAGAGUGGGAGAUCAUCAGAAUGUACCUGCCAGACAAUCACAAUGGCAGCCGGAUCGUUGUGUCCACCAAGCAGCUAGGGGAUGCAAUUUUUUUCACGGGGGAGAACUACCGAGUAUCGGUGCUCAAUGAGUUCAGUGGUGGUCAUUAUCUUUGUGCAUUUUAUAACAAGGGUUCAUUCCGUCAAAAUGUGAUGGGCAACCUUAUUCGGCAAUUAAGAUGUCCUGGUGUGAUUUCUGUUUGGGGGACUGGUGAUGACAAAUCAACUCUUGUGAAAGAACUGCUCGACUUCAUACCAAAUAAGAAUGAAGAAAGAUCAAACUCUCAUUCACAAGUGGCAAAGCAUAUACUUUGCGGAUGGAUUGAUGUGGCAUAUCCAUUCAUUUUGAGGGACUUCGGCUUGAGCUUGUUGCAGUCGUUCCGUAAGGAUGAUACUAAAUCUGGUGAGGAUGAUGCCAUAUCUGAUGAUGUUAUUACGCAAGGUCUUUCUAAGGUUCUUUCCGAACACGACAACCAGUGCCUGGUCAUUAUUAACGGUCUCCAGUCCACAAAGGAGUGGGAGACGAUAAAAAGUGUAUUUGCAGAGUUUAAAAUUAAAGGUAUUAUCAUUGUCAUAACCAAUGAUGAAAGUGUGGCAACAACUUGCGGAGAUCAUGAAAAUCGUGUGUUCAACAUCAGCAACGUGGCCCUUCAUCCUUCCAUGCAGAUCCAUACCUACAUGGAAGAACUCUUUUGGCAACCACGACAUUGUAGGGUGAUCUGCAUGUGCGGGGCUGAGGGUAACACAUCAACUCUCUUAAAACAAGUUUACAACGGCAUAAAGCAUCAGCAUGUGGGAUUCAAGGAGGUAGAAAAAUUUGAGUGUUACGUAUGGAUUGACGCACCCCAUCCAUUCGCUGAGAAAGAAUUCCUUGAGUGCUUGGGCAUGGCAUGGGUUUCGUAUGAAGAUGACUUUCAGGAGCAUGUUAGAAGCAUUCACAGGGCUCGUGGAAAAAAGUGCAUUUUUAUUAUAAACGGUCUGCAAUCCAUGGAAGAUUGGGCGUCGGUAAAACCAUACCUCGUGGAUGGGGUUCCUGAGAGUCGUGUCAUUCUUAUUGCAAAUGAAGUGUGGCCAAAAAAAUUGUAG
This 2001-nucleotide ribosomal RNA is filed under the name Triticum aestivum (bread wheat). RNAcentral's name for it is "partial small subunit ribosomal RNA". Lineage: Eukaryota; Viridiplantae; Streptophyta; Magnoliopsida; Poales; Poaceae. The record is from RNAcentral.